Molecule: ribosomal RNA, 497 nt
Filed under: uncultured bacterium
Lineage: Bacteria
Description: partial 16S ribosomal RNA
Rfam family: Bacterial small subunit ribosomal RNA
Source: RNAcentral
GAUGAACGCUGGCGGCGUGCCUAAUACAUGCAAGUCGAGCGAACAGACGAGGAGCUUGCUCCACUGACGUUAGCGGCGGACGGGUGAGUAACACGUGGAUAACCUACCUAUAAGACUGGGAUAACUUCGGGAAACCGGAGCUAAUACCGGAUAAUAUAUUGAACCGCAUGGUUCAAUAGUGAAAGACGGUUUUGCUGUCACUUAUAGUUGGAUCCGCGCCGCAUUAGCUAGUUGGUAAGGUAACGGCUUACCAAGGCAACGAUGCGUAGCCGACCUGAGAGGGUGAUCGGCCACACUGGAACUGAGACGCGGUCCAGACUCCUACGGGAGGCAGAAGUAGGGAAUCUUCCGAAAUGGGCGAAAGCCUGACGGAGCAACGCCGCGUGAGUGAUGAAGGUCUUCGGAUCGUAAAACUCUGUUAUUAGGGAAGAACAAAUGUGUAAGUAACUAUGCACGUCUUGACGGUACCUAAUCAGAAAGCCACGGCUAACUACGUG